UGCUUCAGCACUUCAUCAGUCUUGCCUGGCCCCUGAAGUUAAGCAGGAUCAUGCCUGGUUAGAAUUUGAGAGGAGACUGGUUGGGAAUAUCAGGUGCUGAAGGCA
This 105-nucleotide ribosomal RNA is filed under the name Salvator merianae (Argentine black and white tegu). Lineage: Eukaryota; Metazoa; Chordata; Lepidosauria; Squamata; Teiidae. The record is from RNAcentral.